GACAGGUGGAGACGCUUCCGUGACAAGACGUGGGGAGCGAAAAGGGUGAGAUACCCUGGUGUACCCCGUUAUAAACGAGGUCGAUUUGGAGGUUGUGCCCUUGAGGCGUGGCUUCCGGAGCUAACGCGUUAACUCGACCGCCUGGGGAGUACGGCCCCAAGGUUAAAACUCAAAUGAAUUGACGGGGGCCCGCACAAGCGGUGUUGCAUGUGGUUUAAUUCGAUGCAACGCGAAGAACCUUACCUACUCUUGACAUCCAGAGAACUUUCCAGAGAUGGAUUGGUGCCUUCGGGAACUCUGAGGCAGGUGCGGCAUGGCUGUCGUCAGCUCGUGUUGUGAAAUGUUGGGUUAAGUCCCGCAACGAGCGCAACCCUUAUCCUUUGUUGCCAGCGCUUAGGCCGGGAACUCAAAGGAGACUGCCAGUGAUAAACUGGAGGAAGGUGGGGAUGACGUCAAGUCAUCAUGGCCCUUACGAGUAGGGCUACACACGUGCUACAAUGGCGCACACAAAGAGAAGCGACCUCGCGAGAGCAAGCGGACCUCAUAAAGUGCGUCGUAGUCCGGAUUGGAGUCUGCAACUCGACUCCAUGAAGUCGGAAUCGCUAGUAAUCGUAGAUCA
RNAcentral lists this ribosomal RNA (619 nucleotides) under Serratia marcescens. Its description in RNAcentral is "bacterial SSU rRNA". It matches the Rfam family "Bacterial small subunit ribosomal RNA", at positions 732 to 1351 of the family's 1533-position model. The record is from RNAcentral. Lineage: Bacteria; Pseudomonadati; Pseudomonadota; Gammaproteobacteria; Enterobacterales; Yersiniaceae.